CAGGAAAUAGUUUAUUUUAAAAUUUUAAUUUUGGAGAUUAAAGAAGAGUUUUUCUCUUUCCUGA
Molecule: transfer RNA, 64 nt
Filed under: Tenebroides mauritanicus (cadelle beetle)
Lineage: Eukaryota; Metazoa; Arthropoda; Insecta; Coleoptera; Trogossitidae
Description: tRNA-Pro
Source: RNAcentral